RNAcentral lists this ribosomal RNA (492 nucleotides) under uncultured bacterium. RNAcentral describes it as "partial 16S ribosomal RNA". It matches the Rfam family "Bacterial small subunit ribosomal RNA", at positions 29 to 507 of the family's 1533-position model. The record is from RNAcentral.
AGUGAACGCUGGCGGUAGGCCUAACACAUGCAAGUCGAACGGCAGCACAGUAAGAGCUUCCUCUUACGGGUGGCGAGUGGCGGACGGGUGAGGAAUACAUCGGAAUCUACUUUUUCGUGGGGGAUAACGUAGGGAAACUUACGCUAAUACCGAAUACGACCUACGGGUGAAAGCAGGGGAUCUUCGGACCUUGCGCGAUUGAAUGAGCCGAUGUCGGAUUAGCUAGUUGGCGGGGUAAAGGCCCACCAAGGCGACGAUCCGUAGCUGGUCUGAGAGGAUGAUCAGCCACACUGGAACUGAGACACGGUCCAGACUCCUACGGGAGGCAGCAGUGGGGAAUAUUGGACAAUGGGCGCAAGCCUGAUCCAGCCAUACCGCGUGGGUGAAGAAGGCCUUCGGGUUGUAAAGCCCUUUUGUUGGGAAAGAAAAGCAGCAGGUUAAUACCCCGCUGUUCUGACGGUACCCAAAGAAUAAGCACCGGCUAACUUCGUG